GGGUAGCCGGACUGAGAGGUCGACCGGCCACAUUGGGACUGAGAUACGGCCCAGACUCCUACGGGAGGCAGCAGUGGGGAAUUUUGCGCAAUGGGGGCAACCCUGACGCAGCAACGCCGCGUGCGGGACGAAGGCCCUCGGGUUGUAAACCGCUUUCAGCAGGGAAGACUUUGACGGUACCUGCAGAAGAAGCUCCGGCUAACUACGUGCCAGCAGCCGCGGUAAUACGUAGGGGGCGAGCGUUAUCCGGAUUCAUUGGGCGUAAAGCGCGCGUAGGCGGCCGCCUAAGCGGAACCUCUAAUCCCGGGGCUCAACCUCGGGCCGGGUUCCGGACUGGGCGGCUCGAGUGCGGUAGAGGCAGGCGGAAUUCCCGGUGUAGCGGUGGAAUGCGCAGAUAUCGGGAAGAACACCGAUGGCGAAGGCAGCCUGCUGGGCCGCCACUGACGCUGAGGCGCGAAAGCUGGGGGAGCGAACAGGAUUAGAUACCCUGGUAGUCCCAGCCGUAAACGAUGGGCGCUAGGUGUGGGGGGACAGUCCCCCCGUGCCGCAGCCAACGCAUUAAGCGCCCCGCCUGGGGA
Molecule: ribosomal RNA, 578 nt
Filed under: uncultured bacterium
Lineage: Bacteria
Description: bacterial SSU rRNA
Rfam family: Bacterial small subunit ribosomal RNA
Source: RNAcentral